RNAcentral lists this ribosomal RNA (554 nucleotides) under uncultured bacterium. RNAcentral describes it as "partial 16S ribosomal RNA". It matches the Rfam family "Bacterial small subunit ribosomal RNA", at positions 355 to 900 of the family's 1533-position model. The record is from RNAcentral.
UAGGGAAUCUUCGGCAAUGGGGGCAACCCUGACCGAGCAACGCCGCGUGAGUGAAGAAGGUUUUCGGAUCGUAAAGCUCUGUUGUAAGUCAAGAACGGGUGUGAGAGUGGAAAGUUCACACUGUGACGGUAGCUUACCAGAAAGGGACGGCUAACUACGUGCCAGCAGCCGCGGUAAUACGUAGGUCCCGAGCGUUGUCCGGAUUUAUUGGGCGUAAAGCGAGCGCAGGCGGUUUGAUAAGUCUGAAGUUAAAGGCUGUGGCUCAACCAUAGUUCGCUUUGGAAACUGUCAAACUUGAGUGCAGAAGGGGAGAGUGGAAUUCCAUGUGUAGCGGUGAAAUGUGUAGAUAUAUGGAGGAACACCGGUGGCGAAAGCGGCUCUCUGGUCUGUAACUGACGCUGAGGCUCGAAAGCGUGGGGAGCGAACAGGAUUAGAUACCCUGGUAGUCCACGCCGUAAACGAUGAGUGCUAGGUGUUGGAUCCUUUCCGGGAUUCAGUGCCGCAGCUAACGCAUUAAGCACUCCGCCUGGGGAGUACGACCGCAAGGUUGAAAC